This 75-nucleotide transfer RNA is filed under the name Actinomycetota bacterium. Its description in RNAcentral is "Actinobacteria bacterium (freshwater metagenome) tRNA-Thr". It matches the Rfam family "tRNA". Rfam says of the family: Transfer RNA (tRNA) molecules are approximately 80 nucleotides in length. Their secondary structure includes four short double-helical elements and three loops (D, anti-codon, and T loops). The record is from RNAcentral. Lineage: Bacteria; Bacillati; Actinomycetota.
GCCUCCCUAGCUCAGUGGUAGAGCAUCCGCCUUGUAAGCGGAAGGUCGUCAGUUCAAUCCUGACGGGGGGCUCAA